RNAcentral lists this unclassified non-coding RNA (295 nucleotides) under plant metagenome. RNAcentral describes it as "partial contains small subunit ribosomal RNA, internal transcribed spacer 1, and 5.8S ribosomal RNA". The stretch from base 1 to 54 matches the Rfam family "Eukaryotic small subunit ribosomal RNA", at positions 1778 to 1831 of the family's 1831-position model. The record is from RNAcentral.
GGAAGUAAAAGUCGUAAUAAGGUUUCCGUAGGUGAACCUGCGGAAGGAUCAUUAACGAAAUGAAUGUCGAAAAGGGUUGUAGCUGGCCUCUUGAGGCAUGUGCACACCUUGAUCGCACAUCCAUAUCUCACACCUGUGCACAACCUGUAGCCUGGGAUGAUUACAAUGCUGGGAACAGUGUUGAAAGCCCUUGCUAUGAAAUUUUACACACACAUAUUAAAAGUUAUAGAAUGUUAUAUAGCGUGUAACAGCGCAAAUAAAUAUACAACUUUCAGCAACGGAUCUCUUGGCUCUC